ACAAUGGAGAGUUUGAUCCUGGCUCAGGAUGAACGCUAGCGGCAGGCUUAACACAUGCAAGUCGAGGGGCAGCGA
RNAcentral lists this ribosomal RNA (75 nucleotides) under Alistipes sp. Its description in RNAcentral is "partial 16S ribosomal RNA". It matches the Rfam family "Bacterial small subunit ribosomal RNA", at positions 1 to 75 of the family's 1533-position model. The record is from RNAcentral. Lineage: Bacteria; Pseudomonadati; Bacteroidota; Bacteroidia; Bacteroidales; Rikenellaceae.